Molecule: unclassified non-coding RNA, 302 nt
Filed under: Hevea brasiliensis (rubber tree)
Lineage: Eukaryota; Viridiplantae; Streptophyta; Magnoliopsida; Malpighiales; Euphorbiaceae
Source: RNAcentral
GCUUUUAAAUUUUUAGUUCUAUUUAUGUUUAUAUCUUUUCUUACGCGUAAAUCAAUUCAUUAGUCAAUCUAAGAGAAAGAUUUGAUUGGGGAUAAGAUUACUAUUCGCUCGUAUUACUUAUAAAUAUACGAAGAAGGAAAUUGGUGAUCGAUCGGAGGGAAAAUGGUGAGAGAGACCGAAUAUUACGACGUGCUUGGGGUCAGCCCCACCGCCACCGAGGCGGAGAUCAAGAAGGCUUAUUACAUCAAGGCCCGACAGGUUCAUCCAGAUAAGAAUCCCAAUGAUCCUCUUGCUGCACAAAA